AUUGAACGCUGGCGGCAGGCCUAACACAUGCAAGUCGAACGGUAACAGGAAGCAGCUUGCUGCUUCGCUGACGAGUGGCGGACGGGUGAGUAAUGUCUGGGAAGCUGCCUGAUGGAGGGGGAUAACUACUGGAAACGGUAGCUAAUACCGCAUAAUGUCGCAAGACCAAAGAGGGGGACCUUCGGGCCUCUUGCCAUCGGAUGUGCCCAGAUGGGAUUAGCUUGUUGGUGGGGUAACGGUUCACCAAGGCGACGAUCCCUAGCUGGUCUGAGAGGAUGACCAGCCACACGGGGACUGGGACAAGCUCCAGACUCCUACGGGAGGCAACAGUGGGGAAUAUGGACCAAUGGGCGCAAGCCUGAUGCAGCCAUGGGGCGUGUAUGAAGAAGGCGUUCGGGUUGUAAAGUACUCUCAGCGGGGAGGAAGGGAGUAAAGUUAAUACCUUUGCUCAUUGACGUUACCCGCAGAAGAAGCACGGGCUAACUCCGUG
This 490-nucleotide ribosomal RNA is filed under the name uncultured bacterium. RNAcentral's name for it is "partial 16S ribosomal RNA". It matches the Rfam family "Bacterial small subunit ribosomal RNA", at positions 30 to 507 of the family's 1533-position model. The record is from RNAcentral.